This 164-nucleotide ribosomal RNA is filed under the name Koenigia mollis. Its description in RNAcentral is "5.8S ribosomal RNA". It matches the Rfam family "5.8S ribosomal RNA". From Rfam's summary of the family: 5.8S ribosomal RNA (5.8S rRNA) is a component of the large subunit of the eukaryotic ribosome. It is transcribed by RNA polymerase I as part of the 45S precursor that also contains 18S and 28S rRNA. The record is from RNAcentral. Lineage: Eukaryota; Viridiplantae; Streptophyta; Magnoliopsida; Caryophyllales; Polygonaceae.
GGACGACUCUCGGCAACGGAUAUCUCGGCUCUCGCAUCGAUGAAGAACGUAGCGAAAUGCGAUACUUGGUGUGAAUUGCAGAAUCCCGUGAACCAUCGAGUCUUUGAACGCAAGUUGCGCCCGAAGCCUUCGGGCCAAGGGCACGUCUGCCUGGGCGUCACGCA